UCUCAUCUAUCUCACACAUUAUCUAUCUCACAUAUUGAACCCAUUGUCUAUUUAUCCAAUUUUGAAUAGUAAAUGUACUAUAUCACAAAUUAAGUUUUGAAAAUGUACUAUAAUGCUAAUUUUCCCUAAAAUCAUAAAAAAAAAAAAAAAAAAAAAAAAAGACUACACAAUAAAAGCCUUUACACAUAGUCUUCAUUUUC
This 200-nucleotide long non-coding RNA is filed under the name Capsella rubella. RNAcentral's name for it is "long non-coding RNA (CRUB_LNC001040)". Lineage: Eukaryota; Viridiplantae; Streptophyta; Magnoliopsida; Brassicales; Brassicaceae. The record is from RNAcentral.